UUUUGAGGACUGAGUGUCUCUGCAGAGAUGGCUGUGGGCUUCUUUGGAUGCAUCGAAGGCCUUGUGAGAGAUGCUGGCUCUUAUGGCAGGAGCAGGUUCUGCCCCUUGCCUACUUUUCCUGGGCGGUCUUCUCUAUCUCCAGGGAGCCAGGGAAGCCCAGACCCCACACAGAGAGGGGAAUCAGGGAGGAACUCCCAGAAGGAGGUGGCUUGCAGGCAGAGAAGCCAGACUCAGUCCUGGUGCUGCUGCAACAGAGGAAGCAGGGGACACCGGAGCCUUGAGAAGGCAUCUCGGAGAGUGAGGGGCUCUCCUGACUGCCUCAGACAGAAAGGACAUGCAGGGAGAGAAGCUACAUGCGAUGGAAGCCAACACAGGAGGGCAGGACUGAGAGAUGGGAGGACAUUCCUGACAAAAAUUAUCUCAACACCUAAAUUCACCUGUGCCUGAAGUCAACCACUCCCAGACUUUCUCGUUAGGCAAAGCAAUACAAUCUUUCGAUUUGUGUAUGCUUGUUACUCUGUGUGGAGUUUCUAAGACCUGCAACCACAAAAGUCCUGCUUCAUUGAAGAUCUUGGCUGAAACACCUCAGAGGAGCCUUCCCUGGUCACUUUACGCUCUGGUCUAAAUGUUUAUGUCCCCCCCGUCAAAUGCAUAUGUUGAAAUCCUAACCCUGAAGGUGAUGGCAUUAGGAGGCAGGGCCUUUGGGAGGAGAUUAGGUCGUGAGGAUGAACCCCUCAUGAAUGGGAUUAGUGCUUCCACAAAAGAGACCCCAGAGAGCUCCCUCACCCCUCCACCAUAUGAGGACACAGAGACGGCUGUCUGUGAAACAAGAAAUGGGCUCUCACCAGACGCCAAAUCUGCCAGCACCUUGAUCUUGGACUUCCAGCCUCGAGAACGGUGAGAAAGAAGUUUCUGUUGUUUAGAAGCCCCCAGCCUCUGGUAUUUUUGCUAUAGCAGCCUGAACAGACAAGGACUCCCUUUAUGAAAUGCUCCCCAACUUUGUUCCCC
This 1008-nucleotide long non-coding RNA is filed under the name Equus caballus (horse). RNAcentral's name for it is "lncRNA (ENSECAG00000058690.1)". Lineage: Eukaryota; Metazoa; Chordata; Mammalia; Perissodactyla; Equidae. The record is from RNAcentral.